GACGAACGCUGGCGGCGUGCUUAACACAUGCAAGUCGAACGGAAAGGCCUCAGCUUGCUGGGGUACUCGAGUGGCGAACGGGUGAGUAACACGUGGGUGAUCUGCCUUGCACUCUGGGAUAAGCUUGGGAAACUGGGUCUAAUACCGGAUAUGAACUGCCUUUAGUGUGGUGGUUGGAAAGUUUUUUCGGUGCAAGAUGAGCUCGCGGCCUAUCAGCUUGUUGGUGGGGUAAUGGCCUACCAAGGCGUCGACGGGUAGCCGGCCUGAGAGGGUGUACGGCCACAUUGGGACUGAGAUACGGCCCAGACUCCUACGGGAGGCAGCAGUGGGGAAUAUUGCACAAUGGGCGGAAGCCUGAUGCAGCGACGCCGCGUGGGGGAUGACGGCCUUCGGGUUGGAAACUCCUUUCGACAGGGACGAAGCUUUUUGUGACGGUACCUGUAGAAGGAGCACCGGCUAACUACGUG
Molecule: ribosomal RNA, 467 nt
Filed under: uncultured bacterium
Lineage: Bacteria
Description: partial 16S ribosomal RNA
Rfam family: Bacterial small subunit ribosomal RNA
Source: RNAcentral